AUGCCCAUUUUGGCAGUAUAUAUACUAAAAUUGGAACAAUAUAGAGAAGAUUACCAUGACCUCUAAUCAAGGAAGGUAUCCAAAUUCAUGAGGCGUUCCCCAUUUUU
Molecule: small nuclear RNA, 107 nt
Organism: Cavia porcellus (domestic guinea pig)
Lineage: Eukaryota; Metazoa; Chordata; Mammalia; Rodentia; Caviidae
Source: Ensembl